Molecule: ribosomal RNA, 725 nt
Filed under: uncultured bacterium
Lineage: Bacteria
Description: bacterial SSU rRNA
Rfam family: Bacterial small subunit ribosomal RNA
Source: RNAcentral
AACAGGAUUAGAUACCCUGGUAGUCCACGCCCUAAACGAUGUCUACUAGUUGUCGGGUUUUAAUUAACUUGGUAACGCAGCUAACGCGUGAAGUAGACCGCCUGGGGAGUACGGUCGCAAGAUUAAAACUCAAAGGAAUUGACGGGGACCCGCACAAGCGGUGGAUGAUGUGGAUUAAUUCGAUGCAACGCGAAAAACCUUACCUACCCUUGACAUGUCAGGAACCCUGGAGAGAUCUAGGGGUGCUCGAAAGAGAGCCUGAACACAGGUGCUGCAUGGCUGUCGUCAGCUCGUGUCGUGAGAUGUUGGGUUAAGUCCCGCAACGAGCGCAACCCUUGUCAUUAGUUGCUACGCAAGAGCACUCUAAUGAGACUGCCGGUGACAAACCGGAGGAAGGUGGGGAUGACGUCAAGUCCUCAUGGCCCUUAUGGGUAGGGCUUCACACGUCAUACAAUGGUACAUACAGAGGGCCGCCAACCCGCGAGGGGGAGCUAAUCCCAGAAAGUGUAUCGUAGUCCGGAUUGUAGUCUGCAACUCGACUACAUGAAGUUGGAAUCGCUAGUAAUCGCGGAUCAGCAUGUCGCGGUGAAUACGUUCCCGGGUCUUGUACACACCGCCCGUCACACCAUGGGAGCGGGAUUUACCAGAAGUAGGUAGCUUAACCGCAAGGAGGGCGCUUACCACGGUAGGAUUCGUGACUGGGGUGAAGUCGUAACAAGGUAACC